This 1295-nucleotide ribosomal RNA is filed under the name Sourniaea diacantha. Its description in RNAcentral is "partial large subunit ribosomal RNA". It matches the Rfam family "Eukaryotic large subunit ribosomal RNA", at positions 75 to 1279 of the family's 3401-position model. The record is from RNAcentral. Lineage: Eukaryota; Dinophyceae; Gonyaulacales; Gonyaulacaceae.
UUCCUUUAGUAAUGGCGAAUGAACAAGGAUAUGCUCAGUUUGGAAAUCGGGGUCAGUGGCCUUGAAUUGUAGUCUGCAGAUGGUUUGCCAAUGUGGAUGCUGAUGCAAGCCUCUUGGAAAAGAGCAUGCGAGAGGGUGAGAGUCCUGUCUGGCAUCUGCCUUCCGCAUGUACGGCAAGCACUCUACGAGUCACGUUCCUCGGGCCUGGAGCGCAAACUGGGUGGUAAUUUCCAUCUUAAGCUAAAUAUAUGUUCAAGACCGAUAGAAAACAAGUACCAUGAGGGAAAGGUGAAAAGGACUUUGAAAAGAGUGUUAAAAGUGUCUGAAAUUGCUGAGGUGAAAGCGAAUGGAACUAAUGCUGUUGGGUGAGAUUGCUGUGCGCACUUGCAUUUGCCUCCUACCGCAACGCAAGUGCUGUAGUAGAUUUUGUGCUCGUGUGUGCGGUGCUACUCCCUGCGCAUGUUGCUGUCAGUCUGCCGCUGUGAAAAAUGCCUGGUGCAUGGUGGGUUGCCCUUUGUGACUGAAUGCUCUUGGCUGAACACAGCUGCUUGCUGAUCUUCCUGCAUCUUGCUGCAAUGGUCUGCGGUGCAGUUGUAUACUGGGAGGGCUCAAUCCUCCUGCGGGCACUGCAUCUGCGGGCCAUAUUCUUGAUGCAACAACAGCAACAAAGUGGACCUAUUCGACCCGUCUUGAAACACGGACCAAGGAGUCUAACAUGUAUGCAAGCUCUUUGGUGAGAAACCUGUGAGCACAAUGAAAGUAUUUGCUGGGAUAUCUGCACCAGCAGUGGACCAAUUGAUUGGAAGAGGUUUGAGUACAAGCAUAUCUGUUAGGACCCGAAAGAUGGUGAACUAUGCUUGAGAAGGGCAAACUCAGGGGAAACUCUGAUGGAGGCUCGUAGCGGUACUGACGUGCAAAUCGUUCGUCAUACUUGGGUAUAGGGGCGAAAGACUAAUCGAACCAUCUAGUAGCUGGUUCCCUCCGAAGUUUCCCUCAGGAUAGCUGGAGUUGGUCAGUUUUAUCAGGUAAAGCGAAUGUUUAGAGGAAUCGGGGACGCGUUGCCCUCGACCUAUUUUCAAACUUUAAAUGGGUAAGAUCUAGUGGUUGCUUGUGUGAUCUUCUGGGAUAAAUGGCAUUUCUAAGUGGGCCAUUUUUGGUAAGCAGAACUGGCGAUGAGGGAUGAACCUAACAUUGGGUUAAGGUGCUUAACUGCUCGCUCAUCAGAUACCAUAAAGGGUGCUGGUGCAUUUUAACAGCAGGACGGUGGUCAUGGAAGUCGAAAUCCGCUAAGGAGU